AACUGGAGGUGGGGACUAGCUGUAAUUUGGAUACAAAGUGAGAACUGGAAUUGGGUCCAGAGUAUAAAUAGUGCGAAUCAGAAGGGCUUUGUGUGAACCCAUCACCAUUGCAGACAGAACAGCAACUGGACCAGAGACAUCGCUGGAACCCAGGGUGGCUGUCAUCUGACUUCUACAGCAACAACUCCAAAUUACAGAAACACUGCUGAGAUGGGGAAAAUCAUCAUUUAUGAGCACGCCAACUUCCAGGGGUACUCCAAAGAACUCACCAGAGACGUUGCCAAUCUGAGAGAUGUAGAUUGGAAUGACUGUAUCUCCUCAGUGAAAGUAAUUGGACAGCCUUGGGUGGCUUAUGAGCAUGCCAACUAUAAAGGCCGGUUAACGGUAUUUGAAGAGGGAGAGCAUAGCUUUGUUGGUAGAGAGUUGAAUGACAAGAUCUCUUCCCUGAUGUUGAUUACUGAAAAUUUACACAAUCCACAGAUCACUAUCUAUGAACAUGACCAAUAUCAAGGGAAGAGCAGGGUGAUAAGAGAAGCUACCAAUUUGGCUAGGGGGCAUGACAAUGACAUGGCAUCUUCUCAUAAAGUGCAGCGAGGUGUCUGGCUGUUGUGUGAACAUAGCGAUGGAGGUGGUUUUCGCUACAUUGCACGAGAGCAUGAACACCUUCCAAGUUACAGAGCAAUUAAUUUCGAUGACAAGCUUUCAUUUCUGCGUCCCCUUCUCCCUGGAAAGCAUUGUCACUGAUGAAUAGCAAAUUCUGAAGUCCUAAGGGUACAUGUAGCCCUAGCAAGAAAGAUGGGACCUAGAUCUCUCUGCUUUUUUUUUUUUUUUUUUUUUUUUUUUUUUUUUUUUUUUUUUUUUUUUUUUAUUUCCCCUUUUGGCAUAGAAAUACUGAAUGGGAGAGCUCUCUUUUAUGCUAUGCUGCUGAUGUGUAUUUCUGAAUCCUGUGUGGCACUGUUCUCCUUCCCCAUGAUCCCAAUGAAUGUAAGAACUAUCGUAUUUAGUCAUAUGAAAAAAAACUCAAUGAUAAGAGAUGAUCUUGUAGUGCGUAACCUGUAACUAGCAUUCCAAAGUACUAAACCAUGUAAUGUGAAAAUGUUGCAUGUUGCUUCUGUUGCUAUAUGCAUAAUCACAUAUGUAGUGUAUAACCAGAACUGCUGACUUUAUAUUCUUCUUUACAAUGCUCUUGCUUCACAAUGACCUCCGAAAUUUUUUUUUCUAUUCCAUUUUGCAUUGUUACCAAUAAAGAAGAUAUUGCAGGCAACAAUA
Molecule: long non-coding RNA, 1269 nt
Organism: Anas platyrhynchos (mallard)
Lineage: Eukaryota; Metazoa; Chordata; Aves; Anseriformes; Anatidae
Source: RefSeq, a predicted model, not a curated record